CAGGGAUUCAUUCUCCAGAUACAUUGAGAAUAGGAUCUGGGGAAAGUCAUUAUGCAGUCACAUUGAGGAUAGUAAGACAUUCAGUCUCAGGAUUCUCCAGCCAUGCUGAGGAGAGGCAGCAGGGUCUGCCCAUUCAGCAUAAGGUGAUUCUGAGUUCGCUCACUUUAUUCUGGUGACUUUCCUGUGGUUCAGGUCUUAUUGAUCCUCUGAAAUGUGUUUUAUAAUCAGUAUGUCACAACUGCUUUGUACAAGUGAUGAUGAUGAUGAAAGUAAUGAUGAACAGAUGUGAACAACUCUUCUUUAUGGAUCAUGAUCAUGGAUCUUCUUCCUGAACUGCUGUUAUUCCUAGUAAAGCAAUGAGAAAUAAGACAUUGUCCAAAGGAACCACUAGUCAACUUUGCUGUUUAGUUUCGGAUUAUUAGAAAUUUGGAGGAAAACAUGCUCAUUUUUGCAUAUACUUUAAUGAGGAGCAACAAAACACCUGGAAAUGGCUAGCUAAGGAAGAUAGCCACAUGGAUGUAUGCAAUAGGCUUCAGUGACAAGC
This 544-nucleotide long non-coding RNA is filed under the name Cricetulus griseus (Chinese hamster). RNAcentral's name for it is "lncRNA (ENSCGRG00000025072.1)". The record is from RNAcentral. Lineage: Eukaryota; Metazoa; Chordata; Mammalia; Rodentia; Cricetidae.